GUUGAGAAACUACACAUCGUACAUAAUUUUUACGAGCGCAUUUUGUGACGUUUCUGAACAUAAAAACGGCACGGUGUUCUUACACAAAAUUGGCGAACUACGUGAUUGCGAAUUUUCUACUCGCCGUGCGCGGCUUCGUCUUCGUUCUUUCUCCGACAAAAAUCGCAAAAAGCAUCAAGGCGCCAGUUUCAAAUCCUCAGUCUCUUCCUCACCAUUUCAUCUCUCAGAUGAACGAUUUAGACAGCAGAAAUGGGAAAUGCUACAUGAUUUGAGAUUUUUCAGAUUUUACUGAUUGCAGAAUGCAUUACUGUCGGUUUUCCUCCUGUUAAUAUCUUUUGCCGUGAACGGAACAUGAAGCCAAACAAUACUGGUUUGGAAACAUUUGGAACCGCGGCAAUACUCUUCCAAUCGCCAGAGAUUCGGCAUGGAUUUUCAGAUUCUGGAGGGAUUGUGUUCUGUCGACGAGGUAGACACACACUCUCUGAACUAUCUACCCAGCUUGACGCUCCGUUAGAUUCAAACGAACCAAGUCCGAGGAGAGAGAGAGAGAGAGAGAGCAGACAUGUAAAACUGCACCAGAGUUGGCGAAUUUAAGCGGCAAUGAGACAGUAAGUGGCUCUGCUUCUGCCAAAAAAUCUGCAAAAUCAAUUGAAGCUUCUCCUAGAAAGCCCGACUUUGAAGAACCCUGAAACAAAAAAAAAAAAGUUGAAAAGGUCCAAACUUUCAGACAACUUCGAAAGAAAACUCAGGGGAACAUUUAAGGACAUCACCAUCAUCAUCAACGACGAUCAUACUCACUGUUGCAACGACGAAAUGAUGUUGUCUUUAACUGGGGCCUUCUCAAGUUUGAAUGUCGGCUUCCCAACAUCGUCAGGAACCAAAGAUAUCAUCAAAGCAGGUUUCUUCAGCUUCGGCACCUGAAGAAUAUCAAAUGCCCACAAAAAAAAGGAAUCAUCAGACAAGGUGAAAUACCUGAGUUGCCUGAAACUGCAGCUUGAACACAGCUUUGAUCUUGUUCCUGUCGUUUCUCCAUGA
Long non-coding RNA from Tarenaya hassleriana, 1035 nucleotides. RefSeq lists it as uncharacterized. NCBI's taxonomy places the organism in Eukaryota, Viridiplantae, Streptophyta, Magnoliopsida, Brassicales, Cleomaceae. The transcript is spliced from 5 exons. The record is from RefSeq and is a predicted model, not a curated record.